AACGAACGCUGGCGGCAUGCCUAACACAUGCAAGUCGAACGAGACCUUCGGGUCUAGUGGCGCACGGGUGCGUAACGCGUGGGAACCUGCCCUUAGGUUCGGAAUAACUCCCCGAAAGGGGUGCUAAUACCGGAUAAUGUCUUCGGACCAAAGAUUUAUCGCCUUUGGAUGGGCCCGCGUUGGAUUAGCUAGUUGGUAGGGUAAAAGCCUACUAAGGCAACGAUUCAUAGCUGGUCUGAGAGGAUGAUCGGCCACACUGGAACUGGGACACGGCCCAGACUCCUACGGGAGGCAGCAGUAGGGAAUCUUCCGCAAUGGGCGGAAGCCUGACGGGAGAACGCCGCGUGAGUGAUUAAGGUCUUCGGAUCGUAAAACUCUGUUAUCAGGGAAGAACAAAUGUGUAAGUAACUGUGCACAGCUUGACGGUACCUAAUAAGAAAGCCACGGCUAACUACGUG
This 458-nucleotide ribosomal RNA is filed under the name uncultured bacterium. RNAcentral's name for it is "partial 16S ribosomal RNA". It matches the Rfam family "Bacterial small subunit ribosomal RNA", at positions 29 to 507 of the family's 1533-position model. The record is from RNAcentral.